RNAcentral lists this transfer RNA (70 nucleotides) under Holothuria fuscogilva. RNAcentral's name for it is "tRNA-Thr". It matches the Rfam family "tRNA". Rfam says of the family: Transfer RNA (tRNA) molecules are approximately 80 nucleotides in length. Their secondary structure includes four short double-helical elements and three loops (D, anti-codon, and T loops). Lineage: Eukaryota; Metazoa; Echinodermata; Holothuroidea; Aspidochirotida; Holothuriidae. The record is from RNAcentral.
GCUCUAAGAGUUUGUGAAAAACAGUUAGUCUUGUAAACUAAAAGAGAGGGUUUAAUUCCUUCUUAGAGUA